This 253-nucleotide ribosomal RNA is filed under the name uncultured bacterium. RNAcentral describes it as "partial 16S ribosomal RNA". It matches the Rfam family "Bacterial small subunit ribosomal RNA", at positions 524 to 776 of the family's 1533-position model. The record is from RNAcentral.
AACGGAGGAUGCGAGCGUUAUCCGGAUUCACUGGGUUUAAAGGGUGCGUAGGCGGGAUAGCAAGUCAGUGGUGAAAGCCUUCAGCUUAACUGUAGGAUUGCCAUUGAUACUGUUAUCCUUGAGUGCAGUUGAGGUAGGUGGAAUUCGUGGUGUAGCGGUGAAAUGCUUAGAUAUCACGCAGAACACCGAUUGCGAAGGCAGGUUACUAAACUGCAACUGACGCUGAGGCACGAAAGCGUGGGGAGCAAACAGG